RNAcentral lists this unclassified non-coding RNA (197 nucleotides) under rhizosphere metagenome. Its description in RNAcentral is "partial ribosomal RNA internal transcribed spacer region". The record is from RNAcentral.
GAAAUAAACCUGAUGGGUUGUUGCUGGCUCUUUAGGGAGCAUGUGCACACCUUGUCAUCUUUAUAUCUCCACCUGUGCACCUUUUGUAGACCCCUCCAGGUCUAUGUCGCUUCAUUUACCCCCAAUGUAUGUUGAUAGAAUGUCAUGGAAAAUAUAUAUAUAUAUAUACAACUUUCAGCAACGGAUCUCUUGGCUCU